CCUACGGGAGGCAGCAGUGGGGAAUAUUGCACAAUGGGGGAAACCCUGAUGCAGCAACGCCGCGUGAGUGAAGAAGUCUUUCGGUAUGUAAAGCUCUAUCAGCAGGGAAGAAAAUGACAGUACCUGACUAAGAAGCCACGGCUAACUACGUGCCAGCAGCCGCGGUAAUACGGAGGGGGCAAGCGUUAUCCGGAUUUACGGGGUGUAAAGGGAGCGUAGACGGCUGCGCAAGUCAGAAGUGAAAGCCCGGGGCUCAACCGCGGGACUGCUUUUGAAACUGUGUAGCUAGGGUGCAGGAGAGGUAAGUGGAAUUCCUGGUGUAGCGGUGAAAGGCGUAGAUAUUAGGAGGAACACCGGUGGCGAGGGCGGCUUACGGGACUGUAACUGAGGUUGGGGCUCGAAGGCGUGGGGAGCAAACAGGAUUAGAUACCCGUGUGGU
This 439-nucleotide ribosomal RNA is filed under the name uncultured bacterium. RNAcentral describes it as "partial 16S ribosomal RNA". It matches the Rfam family "Bacterial small subunit ribosomal RNA", at positions 338 to 794 of the family's 1533-position model. The record is from RNAcentral.